UCGGACAUCAGGAGGUUAGUGCAAUGGCAUAAGCCAGCUUGACUGCGAGCGUGACGGCGCGAGCAGGUGCGAAAGCAGGUCAUAGUGAUCCGGUGGUUCUGAAUGGAAGGGCCAUCGCUCAACGGAUAAAAGGUACUCCGGGGAUAACAGGCUGAUACCGCCCAAGAGUUCAUAUCGACGGCGGUGUUUGGCACCUCGAUGUCGGCUCAUCACAUCCUGGGGCUGAAGUAGGUCCCAAGGGUAUGGCUGUUCGCCAUUUAAAGUGGUACGCGAGCUGGGUUUAGAACGUCGUGAGACAGUUCGGUCCCUAUCUGCCGUGGGCGCUGGAGAACUGAGGGGGGCUGCUCCUAGUACGAGAGGACCGGAGUGGACGCAUCACUGGUGUUCGGGUUGUCAUGCCAAUGGCACUGCCCGGUAGCUAAAUGCGGAAGAGAUAAGUGCUGAAAGCAUCUAAGCACGAAACUUGCCCCGAGAUGAGUUCUCCCUGACCCUUUAAGGGUCCUGAAGGAACGUUGAAGACGACGACGUUGAUAGGCCGGGUGUGUAAGCGCAGCGAUGCGUUGAGCUAACCGGUACUAAUGAACCGUGAGG
This 591-nucleotide ribosomal RNA is filed under the name Escherichia coli. RNAcentral describes it as "partial 23S ribosomal RNA". It matches the Rfam family "Bacterial large subunit ribosomal RNA", at positions 2331 to 2916 of the family's 2925-position model. Lineage: Bacteria; Pseudomonadati; Pseudomonadota; Gammaproteobacteria; Enterobacterales; Enterobacteriaceae. The record is from RNAcentral.